Non-coding RNA from Podarcis muralis (Common wall lizard), 523 nucleotides. The record is from RefSeq and is a predicted model, not a curated record. NCBI's taxonomy places the organism in Eukaryota, Metazoa, Chordata, Lepidosauria, Squamata, Lacertidae.
CCAAUCGUGUUGUCUCCAAUUGCCCCCACCGCCACCCCCAGUGCAAUAACCCAGUUAAUAUUAGCAAGAACAAACGGUCGGAUAAACGCACAAGACAGUACACAGAGAUGAGCAAGCAAGAUAGAUUGGGGAGCAAUAAAACCCACUGAAAGCAGCAGUCUACCCUUUGUCCUUGCUUUGUAUUUAGGGUUCAGAAUGGCUUCAGGCACAACCAAGGUAUCAGCCAACAAGCAAAUACAGCAAAAGAGAGGCACUGACCUCUGCCUGAGACAUUUCAUCACCCAAAAGGAGGCACAACACAUCCCAAGACUCCUCUACGAUACCAGCCUCGGAGUACACCUUUCAGAUUGCAUUUAUAGACUUCUUACUUUUUUUUAAUGUUUUCCUCUGAGGAUCUGAGAGCAGCAGACAUGGGUCUUCCUCUGGUCCCCAUACACCUUUCACUUAUACCCUGUGAGGUAGGUUAGUCUAAGAUAUGGAAACUCUGCCUGAGGUCACUUAGUAAAGUUCAUGAUGGUUUGAA